ACCAGUAGCCAUAUCACUCUGCAACUCACAACUGGCAACCCACUGAAGCAAAGCAGGUGUGAGCCUGGUCAGUACCUGAAUGGGAGACCUCCUGGGAAAAACUAAGGUUGCUGCUGGAA
Lepisosteus oculatus (spotted gar) is the source of this 119-nucleotide ribosomal RNA. The record is from Ensembl. Lineage: Eukaryota; Metazoa; Chordata; Actinopteri; Semionotiformes; Lepisosteidae.